GGCGAAAGCCUGAUGGAGCAACGCCGCGUGUGUGAUGAAGGGUUUCGGCUCGUAAAACACAGAAAGGAACGGCUAAAUACGUGCCAGCAGCCGCGGUAAUACGUAUGUUCCAAGCGUUAUCCGGAUUUAUUGGGCGUAAAGCGAGCGCAGACGGUUAUUUAAGUCUGAAGUGAAAGCCCUCAGCUCAACUGAGGAAUUGCUUUGGAAACUGGAUGACUUGAGUGCAGUAGAGGAAAGUGGAACUCCAUGUGUAGCGGUGAAAUGCGUAGAUAUAUGGAAGAACACCAGUGGCGAAGGCGGCUUUCUGGACUGUAACUGACGUUGAGGCUCGAAAGUGUGGGUAGCAAACAGGAUUAGAUACCCUGGUAGUCCACACCGUAAACGAUGAGUGCUAGGUGUUUGAGGGUUUCCGCCCUUAAGUGCCGCAGCUAACGCAUUAAGCACUCCGCCUGGGGAGUACGACCGCAAGGUUGAAACUCAAAGGAAUUGACGG
This 493-nucleotide ribosomal RNA is filed under the name uncultured Weissella sp. RNAcentral's name for it is "bacterial SSU rRNA". It matches the Rfam family "Bacterial small subunit ribosomal RNA", at positions 374 to 916 of the family's 1533-position model. The record is from RNAcentral. Lineage: Bacteria; Bacillati; Bacillota; Bacilli; Lactobacillales; Lactobacillaceae.